GACGAACCGAGCGAACGUUGUUCGGAAUCACUGGGCUUAAAGCGUGUGUAGGCGGGCCCGUAAGUGUCUUGUGAAAUCCCCCGGCUCAACCGGGGAACGGCUGGGCAUACUGCGGGCCUCGGGCCGACUAGGGGUUGCCGGAACAAGCGGUGGAGCGGUGAAAUGCGUAGAUAUCGCUUGGAACGCCGACGGUGAAGACAGGCAACUGGGGUCGCGCCGACGCUGAGACACGAAAGCCAGGGGAGCGAACGGG
This 253-nucleotide ribosomal RNA is filed under the name uncultured bacterium. RNAcentral describes it as "partial 16S ribosomal RNA". It matches the Rfam family "Bacterial small subunit ribosomal RNA", at positions 524 to 776 of the family's 1533-position model. The record is from RNAcentral.